UCCGUAGGUGAACCUGCGGAAGGAUCAUUAAAAAAAGAGAAACGCCCCGUUUUUUUCAUAAGAAUGGGUUCUAUUCCCUUAAACCGUGUCUACAUACCUUUGUUGCUUUGGCAGGCCGCCUUCGGGCGUCGGCUCCGGCUGAUAGUGCCUGCCAGAGGACCCAAACUCUAUGUUUAGUGAUGUCUGAGUACUAUAUAAUAUUUAAAACUUUCAACAACGGAUCUCUUGGUUCUGGCAUCGAUGAAGAACGCAGCGAAAUGCGAUAAGUAAUGUGAAUUGCAGAAUUCAGUGAAUCAUCGAAUCUUUGAACGCACAUUGCGCCCCUUGGUAUUCCGAGGGGCAUGCCUGUUCGAGCGUCAUUAUAACCACUCAAGCCUGGCUUGGUAUUGGGGUUUUCGCGUGCUCGCGGCCCUUAAAAUCAGUGGCGGUGCCGUCUGGCUCUAAGCGUAGUAAUCUCUCUCGCUAUAGGGUUCCGGUGGUUACUUGCCAAAACCCCCCAUUUUUUCUAGGUUGACCUCGGAUCAGGUAGGGAUACCCGCUGAACUUAA
This 548-nucleotide ribosomal RNA is filed under the name Hyaloscypha variabilis. RNAcentral's name for it is "eukaryotic LSU rRNA". The stretch from base 206 to 359 matches the Rfam family "5.8S ribosomal RNA". The record is from RNAcentral. Lineage: Eukaryota; Fungi; Ascomycota; Leotiomycetes; Helotiales; Hyaloscyphaceae.